GGAUCGGAGUCUGCAACCCGACUCCGUGAAGCUGGAUUCGCUAGUAAUCGCGCAUCAGCCAUGGCGCGGUGAAUACGUUCCCGGGCCUUGUACACACCGCCCGUCAAGCCAUGGGAGCCGGGGGUGCUUGAAGUGCGUCGCCGCAAGGCGCGCCCUAGAGCAAAACCGGUGAUUGGGGCUAAGUCGUAACAAGGUAUC
RNAcentral lists this ribosomal RNA (198 nucleotides) under uncultured bacterium. Its description in RNAcentral is "partial 16S ribosomal RNA". It matches the Rfam family "Bacterial small subunit ribosomal RNA", at positions 1295 to 1500 of the family's 1533-position model. The record is from RNAcentral.